GACGAACGCUGGCGGCGUGCCUAAUACAUGCAAGUCGAGCGCAGGAAACUGACGGAACUCUUCGGAGGGAAGGCAGUGGAAUGAGCGGCGGACGGGUGAGUAACACGUAAGGAACCUGCCUCAAGGAUUGGGAUAACUCCGAGAAAUCGGAGCUAAUACCGGAUAGUUCAACGGACCGCAUGGUCCGUUGAUGAAAGGCGCUCCGGCGUCACCUUGAGAUGGCCUUGCGGUGCAUUAGCUAGUUGGUGGGGUAACGGCUCACCAAGGCGACGAUGCCCAGACGACCUGAGAGGGUGAUCGGCCAAACUGGGACUGAGACACGGCCCAGACUCCUACGGGAGGCAGCAGUAGGGAAUCUUCCACAAUGGACGAAAGUCUGAUGGAGCAACGCCGCGAGAGUGAUGAAGGUUUUCGGAUCGUAAAACUCUGUUGUAAGGGAAGAACACGUACGAGAGGAAAUGCUCGUACCUUGACGGUACCUUACGAGAAAGCCACGGCUAACUACGUGCCAGCCGCCGCAGUAA
This 524-nucleotide ribosomal RNA is filed under the name uncultured bacterium. RNAcentral's name for it is "partial 16S ribosomal RNA". It matches the Rfam family "Bacterial small subunit ribosomal RNA", at positions 28 to 523 of the family's 1533-position model. The record is from RNAcentral.